This 500-nucleotide ribosomal RNA is filed under the name uncultured bacterium. Its description in RNAcentral is "partial 16S ribosomal RNA". It matches the Rfam family "Bacterial small subunit ribosomal RNA", at positions 30 to 523 of the family's 1533-position model. The record is from RNAcentral.
AUUGAACGCUGGCGGCAUGCCUUACACAUGCAAGUCGAACGGCAGCGCGGACUUCGGUCUGGCGGCGAGUGGCGAACGGGUGAGUAAUACAUCGGAACGUACCCUGUUGUGGGGGAUAACUAGUCGAAAGAUUAGCUAAUACCGCAUACGACCUGAGGGUGAAAGUGGGGGAUCGCAAGGCCUCACGCAUCAGGAGCGGCCGAUGUCUGAUUAGCUAGUUGGUGGGGUACAGGCCCACCAAGGCGACGAUCAGUAGCUGGUCUGAGAGGACGAUCAGCCACACUGGGACUGAGACACAGCCCAGACUCCGAAGGGAGGCAGCAGUGGGGAAUUUUGGACAAUGGGGGCAACCCUGAUCCAGCAAUGCCGCGUGUGUGAAGAAGGCCUUCGGGUUGUAAAGCACUUCUGUCCGGAAAGAAAUCGCGCUGGUUAAUACCUGGCGUGGAUGACGGUACCGGAAGAAUAAGCACCGGCUAACUACGUGCCAGCAGCCGCGGUAA